GAUGAACGCUGGCGGCGUGCCUAAUACAUGCAAGUCGAGCGAACGGACGAGAAGCUUGCUUCUCUGAUGUUAGCGGCGGACGGGUGAGUAACACGUGGAUCACCUACCUAUAAUACUGGGAUAACUUCGGGAAACCGUAGCUAAUACCGGAUAAUAUUUUGAACCGCAUGGUUCAAAAGUGAAAGACGGUCUUGCUGUCACUUAUAGCUGGUUCCGCGCUGCAUUAGCUAGUUGGUAAGGUAACGGCUUACCAAGGCAACGAUGCAUAGCCGACCUGAGAGGGUGAUCGGCCACACUGGAACUGAGACACGGUCCAGACUCCUACGGGAGGCAGCAGUAGGGAAUCUUCCGCAAUGGGCGAAAGCCUGACGGAGCAACGCCGCGUGAGUGAUGAAGGUCUUCGGAUCGUAAAACUCUGUUAUUAGGGAAGAACAUAUGUGUAAGUAACUGUGCACAUCUUGACGGUACCUAAUCAGAAAGCCACGGCUAACUACGUG
This 497-nucleotide ribosomal RNA is filed under the name uncultured bacterium. Its description in RNAcentral is "partial 16S ribosomal RNA". It matches the Rfam family "Bacterial small subunit ribosomal RNA", at positions 28 to 507 of the family's 1533-position model. The record is from RNAcentral.